This 402-nucleotide ribosomal RNA is filed under the name uncultured bacterium. Its description in RNAcentral is "bacterial SSU rRNA". It matches the Rfam family "Bacterial small subunit ribosomal RNA", at positions 355 to 774 of the family's 1533-position model. The record is from RNAcentral.
UGGGGAAUAUUGCACAAUGGGGGAAACCCUGAUGCAGCAACGCCGCGUGAGUGAUGAAGGCCUUCGGGUUGUAAAGCUCUGUCUUUGGGGACGAUAAUGACGGUACCCAAGGAGGAAGCCACGGCUAACUACGUGCCAGCAGCCGCGGUAAUACGUAGGUGGGAAGCGUUGUCCGGAUUUACUGGGCGUAAAGGGAGCGUAGGUGGAUAUUUAAGUGGGAUGUGAAAUCCCCGGGCUUAACCUGGGGGCUGCAUUCCAAACUGGAUGUCUAGAGUGCAGGAGAGGAGAGUGGAAUUCCUAGUGUAGCGGUGAAAUGCGUAGAGAUUAGGAAGAACACCAGUGGCGAAGGCGACUCUCUGGACUGUAACUGACACUGAGGCUCGAAAGCGUGGGGAGCAAACA